UUUGGGGCUAUUUAAUAUAACAGAUGGAAUAUCAGUAACUCCAUAGUUAUCAGAAAUGACUCCAAUAUACUUAGUUAAUACACGUAUUAAACAAAAUUACUCCAGAAAUCCACACUAAGAUCAAAUAACAUAACUAAUAACAUAACUUUCUACAACACAGAAAAUGUUUUUGUGACCUAGGAUCAAGAUGGUCAGAUUGAUGUAUAAGAGUUUUUAAAAAUAAUUCUGACCUUGCCUUACAGUGCUCAUAAACUAGACCCUUCAACGGUCUGACCCAUGGACAUGCUACUAUAUGACCCACCUAAAGAAAAUGGCCCCAGAAGGAAGUGUGGUCAGUGUCAAAGGCCUCACUUUUCAUAACUUUAUUCUAACCUGUUUAUUUCUCUUCCAUGAUCCCUUUCACCCUUUUGAAGCGAGAAAGCCUGAGUUAGACACGUCAUCAUCAUUUUAACAUUGACAAUAACAUUAAAUAAGAGUGAAGGACUGUAUCAGUUCUGAAACUCUACACACAUUUUCCAUAUUAUGUUGUAUUUUAUUUAUUGUGUGUUAACAUCGACAUUAUUAGGUAUACAGAUACAGAUGUCAAUGUACACAGAUAAUCUCUAAGUAAAAGAAAAAGACAACAAAGUUACUUGGGAGGCUGAAGUGGGAGGAUUGCUUGAGGCCAAGAUUUCAAGACAAGCCUUGGCAACAUAGUAAGACUCUGUCUCUAAAAAAUGAAAUAAAACAAAAUAGCUGGGUUUGGUGGCAGCACAUUCUUGUAGUCCUAGCCUAAUUAGGAGGCUGAGGUGCACAUUAUUCAGUUCAAACUUCCCUGUUUUAAAUGAUUAUGAAUAUAAGUUUAUCCAUUUCUUGAGCUGACAUGUCCCUUCAAGUGGGAAACCAUGGUGAGCGCCUGAUUCCCUUCUGUGUCAUAUUUUCCAAGCUAAGAAAUGUGUGAGGUCUGUUACUAAUGAAGUCACCACAGCACAGAGAUUGUUAAAAUCCUCAAACAUUUGAGCUGGUACUCAGUUUUCUUGGUAUCCUCAUACCUCUCAAAACUGUCUAACUCUUUGCAUAAGAAAUUUAGGUGUGGUUUUUUUUCCUAUGUUUAUCUUCUGUUUGUGGGUUGUGUUUUAUUUUUCGUGUAAACUUUUACAAUUAGAUACAGGGAAAAGAGGUUCUGUUAUUACUUGAUGAAUUAUGUACCUACUGUUAAGCAGUUUUCAGAAGAUAGUAUCCAAACUUUCUACGAUUUCAUACAUUCUACCAAAUGGUAGAAUGAUUUUAACCCAGUUCUUUGUAAUAUGCCUGCUCCACAGUAAGUGCCCAGUAAUCAUUUACUAAUUAUCCCUUGGAGGUACCUCCUGAAAUAUUUGUGUAAUACCGGAUUUUUAAAUAUUGAACUCUCAAAUGCCAAAAAUAAAAGAGAAUGUAUUUUUAACACACUCUUUUUUGGUGAAUGUGUGUAUUUGUGUUCAGUCUAGACUCAUUUGAGGCAAGAAAACAAUGUUGUUGCCUGAUAUUUGCUACUGAAAUUUACUUCAUUCUGUUUCCCUUUGUUUUCUAUAUGUCUGUGGCAAAACUUGUUUCUAGCCAUUUAUUGCAAUAUUCAAUGUGCACAGCUUUAAGCUCUCAGCUUUUUAAUAGACUUGGAAUUGAAUAGAAAAUUAUGAGAAUAUGUUUUCACACCAUAUUUUCAAAACAUAAGAGCUGCGUUAAGACAUCAAAUUGGAUUAAAUAUUGUAAUAUUAUUACUUCUAAAUGAUAUAAUUUUAUGUUAUGUUGAACUAGGUGAUAGUUCAUAGAUAGAUAGAUAGAUAAAUGUUAGACACAUAGAUAUACACACACACAUAUAUCCCUCAAUAGCUCAGUGAAAACUUUAAGGAGAUAUAUCUUAGGCCUGAAAAUUAUAACAAUAAUGAAAAAUAUGCCAAAUGAUACAAAUAAAUUGGUUAAAAAGUAUUGGUUCAGAGGAAUAUGUAGCAUGGAAAUAAAGAACUUGCAAAUCAACCAGAAGAAUCAGAAUCAUCUGCUAGAGCUUCGGCUUUGGUUUGGUUUGCUUUCUUUUUGAGACGGAGUCUUGCACUGUCACCCAGGCUGGAGUGCAAUGGCACGAUCUCAGCUCACUGCAACCUCCGCCUCCCAGGUUCAAGCUAUUAUCCUGUCUCGGCCUCCCAAGUAGUUGGGAUUACAGAUGCCCACCACCAUGCCCGGCUAAUUUUUUGUAUUUUUAGUAGAGACGAGGUUUCACUGUGUUGGCCAGGCUGGUCUUGAACUCCUGACCUCGCGAUCCACCCUCCUUGGCCUCCGAGAGUGCUGAGAUUACAGGCGGGAGCCACUGAACCUGGCCUGGUUUGGUUUGCUUUAAUGAAUGACUACUUGGCACACACCUUUCUUCGGGUAAAUUUGCUUUGAUUUUCUCCUGAAACAACUUUGAAUACUAGUCCAGGCUCUACUAAAUUCACAAAAAUAAAUAAGAACAUGUAAGGAUAUAAGCGCCCAAAUAGAUUUUGCUUUCUUGAAAGUAAGAAGCCAAUACACUUAGAAAACCCCUGAUAUACCUAGGAAUGACUUAAUUUUAAGUUAAUCCUUGGAAUUGGAUGGCUCAGCUAAAAUUGGAUUUUUUCCAAAUUAAUAGGAGGCUGGCUGAGUUGACAUGGCUAUUUUGAUUUUUUUAUUUUAUAAGUUGAAUUCUUUCUUUUCUCAUCCUCACUCUCCUUUACUGGGCUUUCAAAUAAUAUUAGCAUUUGCCCAUCAAUGCAGAGUAUACCAUAGAUCCAAUUAUUUUCAUUUUAUUCAUACAUACUCCACUUAACCCCCCCUCAAUACAUCCUCCCACUGGAGCAAGCAAAAAGUUAGUUUAUUGGCAACACAGAGGAACAUGCUCUGGAACAAUUCUCUCUUUUAUAUGUUACAGCAUAAGGUCACUGGAGCUAACCGUCUUCCCAAGAAGGACAUCUUUCUGAGGGUAUCAAGGAAGUGUGCUCAUCAGGAUUUCAUGCUUCCUGUCACUCUUCACAUCUUUGUUAUCCUGUACUGCUGAAGCAGAUUUUUUUAAAGUACAUGGGGAGUAGAUUUACACAACCUUUAUUCCCAGAUUGCAGGAGAGUGAGAAGCAAAAAAUAGUGCCCAGAAUUGGUGGAAUUAGAACCAAAAGGUGUCUCCUGUGACAUAAGCCUUUGGAGAGACACAAUAAUCAUGUCAUCUUCUGCUCUGUCAUUCACACAAUGUAUAGAACAAUGAUUUGACCAAGUAAGAAGAGACAAAGAGCCAAGAGUUUGUUUGGAGGCCGGAGUGAGCUUGACAGAACUAGAUGAAAUUGGCCACUGGGCACUGGGACCCAGAAAGGCCUCAUUGCCACAGAGUUGCAACAGAGUGUGGGGUCCCAUUAUCAGAAUCCUUUCUAUGGUGCAUCCAAUUGGCUAUGACUCUCCUAAGAACAGCGCUGCAGGAAAAUGCAAGUUCACAGGAUAAUGAAUGCACUGUUGCUUCUCUGCUGCUGACUUUUCCCACGAAUAAAACUUGUAUUUAUUUGUACUGCUGGUUCGGGCUGCCAUAAAAAGCACCACAGACGAUAUGGCUUACACCACAGAAACUCAUGUUCUCCCAAUCCUGGAAGCUGAAAGUCCAAGAUCAAAGUGUUGUCUGGGUUGGUUUCUUCCAAGACCUCUACUGUUGGCUUACAGAUGAUUGUAUUCAGUUCACAUGAUGUUCUUCUAUGAGUGCCUGUGUCGAUUUUCUGUUCUUAUAAAGAUAUCAGUCAGAUUAAAUGAUGGUUCACCCAAAUGACUUCAUUUCACCUUAAUUACUUCUCUAAAGGCUCUAUCUCCAAAUACGGUCACAUUGUGAGUUUCUCAGGGUUAGGACUUCAACAUGUACAUUUGAGGAGUGGAACACAAUUCAACCCAUACCGUGUACCAUGGUAGUCCCAAUGUCCCCAUUUUCCAACAGCAAAGUGUUUAUGGAAUAUCAUGUUCUACCUGUGACCUUUCUAUUCUCUCUUAUACAAUAUUAUGUCACUUUCAUAUCAUAGUUAAUUUUACAUGUAUUUGUUCCUCAUCUCCAAAACGGGUCUGCAAACUCCUGGAGAGAAAAAUCUGCAUUUGAAACUAGCAGGUGCACAGCAACUAUUAACUAAUAUAAAAUGACAUCUGAAAGAAACAAAGCCCACAAUUUUUUUCCCAUGCCUGUCAAUAGAGACUUCAGAAACAUAUAGUUAUUUUGAAGAAAAUAACUUUAUAUUCUUUAAAAACUAGAUAGUAAUUUGAAAUCAUACUUUCAAUGCUACAACAGACAUUUAAAUAGAGGAAAUAUCCACCUCCCAUUCUCCAAUCACCACCUCCCUCAUUUCCCAGCAUGUUUAGAGUUCUAGCCUUCACCAAAGACUGGUAUACAAGAAAGCAAAUUGAAAAUCCAUCAUUUUCUGGUACGGUAAGGCUCAUUUAUUCAUUCAAUAAGGAUUUAUUGCUUUGCUGUGAUGUGCCAGGUAUAGGGCUUGGUGCUGGUAAUACCUUAGUGAACAAGACAUAGAUAUGCAAUAGAAUAGUAACUGAGUUCAGAUUUUUUACGUCUCAACCACUUCAGUGCAGAUUAGCAUAUGAAUGAACUAUACAACUUAUUUUCCGUCACAAUUUUGGUCUAGUCUUUGAUAUUCUUCUUCUAUCCUAUGAAAUAGCUUUUCUUUCAUAAGCAGAAGAAGAGCAGAAUGAAAUAGAGAGCUGUGCUACUCCUCGGCCAAUUUCUUUAUAAAAUUACAUUUGGAAAUUUCUAUUUAAUUGGUCCCUCCAAAGGCUGUGAGCUGAAAAAUUUAUGGGCUCUGAUAUGGUGACAGACGAAAAGUGGUCCAAGUAAUUUUUGAAAGGUGCCUACCAAAAUAAAUGAGUUUUUACCAGUGAUAUCUCUAUAAGGACUCUUGGUACAUGAGGAUUCGGGAAUUUGGGGAUUUAUACUCUAUUAUACUUAGGACAUCUCAUUAUAGAAGUGUGUCAUAUGACACACUCUGGGCCAACUACAUUUUUUCAUGACAUUUUCUAACUGGAAAUAGAAAUUCGAUCCUCCCAGUGAUCCCUACGGAAUGGGAUGCUUGGGAGCUGUCUGGUCAUGUGGAGGGAAGUCCUGAACUCAGCAGUGAUAGAGAAUGAGGUCCACACAGACUCUGGAUUAUACUUUGUGUACAAAGCCGCACACUUGCACUUCUUGUCACUACCUCCACAGCUGAUUCCCUGGUCCAGUCUUCACCUCUCACCUGCCUGCUAAAUGAUCUUGCUUCUCCCUUUGCCCCCAGAUUGUCUCUUCUCAAUAAAUCACCUGGAAUGAUCUAUUUUUAAAGUCUAAGAGAGGUAUUGUUACUGUGCAGCUCAAAGCUGUCCAGUGCUCCCCAUUUCAUGCAUAGUAAAAGCUGAAGUCUUUCCCAGGGACUACAAGGAUGUCCCCUAUCUGUCCUCAUUACCUCUGUGGCUGCCUUUUAUAAUGAUGUCCCCUAUCUGUCCUCAUUACCUCUGUGGCUGCCUUUUCUAAUGAUCUCCCUCUGCACCUCGGCACUUCAGAAUAGUGCCCUUGCUCUUUAGAAAUACUCCCUGUGAAUUAUUCCCCAGCAGAGAGUGUUCUCCCAGAUAUGAAUGUGGCUCUCCCUUGCCUACCUUAAGUUUUCACUAAAAUGUAGCCUUUCCAGCCAUUUCUGACCUGACUACUCUAUUUAAAAAUCAAUAAAUUUGGCACAUGUCUCCCUUCUUUACCUUAUUUUUAUCUAUAUCACAUUUCAUUAUAUUCUUAUGUACAUUUUCAAUAAACUUCUAUAUUUCUUGGUCUGUCUCUACCCUCUAGAAUAUAACUUCCCACCCCCAGUGCCUAGGCCAGUACCAGGCAGGAAGCUGGUAGCAUUAAAUAAAUAGUUAGGCUAGUAACUUUGAAUUAAACUCAUGGAGAGAUCAGGUCAGGCAAACCUCUGCAUUGUGUUAGGGUAACAUUUGGAGAACUACCAAUUAAGCUUUGUGGAAGUGCUCAGCUGAGGAUAUACCUUGCCACUCAUUUGCUGGAAUUCUGGUAUAAAUUGGUGGGAGGUCAAAGAGACAUGUGUCUCAAACAGUCUUUAACUUCAAAACUGAGUGGAAUGAGUCCUGGAUGAGGUAUUUUGGAUGGAAAACCAGACACAAACUACAUGCAAUAUAUUCUUUACUAAAUUAACUAACCUUAAAAAUAUGUUUUAUAAAUUUCUGAACUAGAAAUUCAAUUUGAUACCAUCUUCCACCGGCCCACAUUUGUUGUUUUAAAUAAAUUUGGAGUCCUUUGGGCACAUUAAAAGAUGGAGAAUGUCAGGUCUGCUUGGAUAUGUUCAAGGCAUGGCCCUGUUUGCCAUAGACAUGGGGUUUAUGCAAACAUGGCUAUUCCUCUAAGGCUUGCAGUCCACUCAGUUUUGGAAUCACAGUUGCAGAGAUUUCUUAAUUUAUUUGUCUGUGUCGAUGCCUCGCUUAGUGCUUUGAGUGUUGGAAACUUCCUCAACAAUUUCUGCAGUUCUACCAAUCUUUGCUGUGGGUUGCACAAAACAAAG
RNAcentral lists this long non-coding RNA (6529 nucleotides) under Homo sapiens (human). RNAcentral's name for it is "HSALNT0158723". The record is from RNAcentral. Lineage: Eukaryota; Metazoa; Chordata; Mammalia; Primates; Hominidae.